RNAcentral lists this ribosomal RNA (108 nucleotides) under Klebsiella pneumoniae subsp. pneumoniae. Its description in RNAcentral is "partial 16S ribosomal RNA". It matches the Rfam family "Bacterial small subunit ribosomal RNA", at positions 1 to 99 of the family's 1533-position model. The record is from RNAcentral. Lineage: Bacteria; Pseudomonadati; Pseudomonadota; Gammaproteobacteria; Enterobacterales; Enterobacteriaceae.
ACUUAAAUUGAAGAGUUUGAUCAUGGCUCAGAUUGAACGCUGGCGGCAGGCCUAACACAUGCAAGUCGAGCGGUAGCACAGAGAGCUUGCUCUCGGGUGACGAGCGGC